GAUGAACGCUAGCGAUAGGCUUAACACAUGCAAGUCGAGGGGCAGCACAAGGUAGCUUGCUAUCUGGGUGGCGACCGGCGCACGGGUGCGUAACGCGUAUGCAACUUGCCCUAUACAGGAGGAUAACCCGUCGAAAGACGGACUAAUACUGCGUAUGCUCACAACUUGGCAUCAAGUGGUGAGGAAAGAAAUUCGGUAUAGGAUAGGCAUGCGUCCCAUUAGCUUGUUGGUGAGGUAACGGCUCACCAAGGCAACGCUGGGGAGGGGAACUGAGAGGUUUAUCCCCCACACUGGGACUGGGGCACGGACCAGACUGCUACGGGAGGGAGGAGUGAGGAAUAAUGGGCAAUGGGCGCGAACCUGAACCAGCCAAGGCGCGGGAAGGAUGACUGUCUUAUGGAUUGUAAACUUCUUUUAUACGGGAAUAACAAGAGUCACGUGUGACUCCCUGCAUGUACCGUAUGAAUAAGCAUCGGCUAACUCCGUG
RNAcentral lists this ribosomal RNA (487 nucleotides) under uncultured bacterium. RNAcentral describes it as "partial 16S ribosomal RNA". It matches the Rfam family "Bacterial small subunit ribosomal RNA", at positions 28 to 507 of the family's 1533-position model. The record is from RNAcentral.